Molecule: ribosomal RNA, 441 nt
Filed under: uncultured bacterium
Lineage: Bacteria
Description: partial 16S ribosomal RNA
Rfam family: Bacterial small subunit ribosomal RNA
Source: RNAcentral
CCUACGGGAGGCAGCAGUGGGGAAUAUUGCACAAUGGGGGGAACCCUGAUGCAGCGACGCCGCGUGGGUGAAGGAGUAUUUCGGUAUGUAAAGCCCUAUCAGCAGGGAAGAACAAUGACGGUACCUGACUAAGAAGCACCGGCUAAAUACGUGCCAGCAGCCGCGGUAAUACGUAUGGUGCAAGCGUUAUCCGGAUUUACUGGGUGUAAAGGGAGCGCAGGCGGCGCGUUAAGCCUGGUGUGAAAGCCCGGGGCCCAACCGCGGGACUGCAUUGGGAACUGGCGCGCUGGAGUGCCGGAGGGGUAUGCGGAAUUCCUAGUGUAGCGGUGAAAUGCGUAGAUAUUAGGAGGAACACCAGUGGCGAAGGCGGCCUACUGGACGGUGACUGACGCUGAGGCUCGAAAGCGUGGGGAGCAAACAGGAUUAGAUACCCGAGUAGUC